CGUCUGCUGGAAGGUCCUCCUCGCAAAAUAUUCACCGGGGUGGGACACUUGUAGACUCCCCGAUGUUGCUAAUGUACGGUCCCAGAGCGACCAACGUUGAGGCACAUCGACCUUGCUGAGGCGCAUGGGGACAGAUCUAUCUUUCUGAACUGAUUGGCCUCGUCUGCUUCACGCUCUUUCUUCCUUUCCUUCCUAACAAAUCCUACAGCGUGCUUAAAUAUGCUAAACAUCUUCCAUCCCACCUCCUCCAAAGUCAAGGAGCGUUAAGAAAGAAUGUCAGGACGAAGCCAGCCAGCAGUCCCCGGCGGAGGGCAAGGGAGUCACCGGCAUCUUUCCAGACUCGCUAUUUAUUUGGUUUCUUUUCCGUUUUGGCUGAUUGGCGCACUCUCCUUCUCCCCUUCUGGCCUCUCUCUCUCUCUGGCGUGUGUUGGUGAGUCUGUGCAUCACGCAUAAAGCCCUCUUUAUCCCUGACAGCAUCAGAGAGGAAGCAGAGUGCAUGGCCCAAGGAACAUCUGGAAUCGCUACAUGGAAGCUAUGCACCAAAAGGGGAGGAUGACAUCCUUCAAGCCUCCAUCCAAGGUAUGGAGGCUUCCUCUCCCCCUCCCACCAACCUUAUCCACCAGACGGCUCGGUUCUUCUCGAACUCUGACCUUCUCGGCGAUUGACAAGCUCCUCCUUUGAGGCAAGAGCCUGCAAGGUUGAAGAAAAAGAAGAUGCUACUCGGAGCCGGUUCUAGAGAAGGAAGAGCGCUGGAUGUCUCUAGAGAAGAUGGAAAAGACGCGUUCACGCUUCAGCUGCUUCGCUGACCAAGUCUUCUCUCUUUGAAAGGAUCUCCUCUACGCCCAGUUAAAAGUCCAAGAGCCCAUUCCAAGCCAAGCUGGAAGAUUUAAGAAGCUGAAGAUAGAAUACAACGUGGAUAUUGCAGUGGCUUAUGCACAGUAGGUAAAAUUCUUCCUAAAAGAGCAUCUGUAUGUGCAAAUAUCUCCAUAUUUUAUUUAUAGCGGCAUAUUCUGCCUUUUAACAAGAUGGUAUAUUUCCUCUUCUUUGGCCCUGAAAGAAGCUGGCCCUCCAUACUAACCAUAUUGUAUAAUGUCACCCAGGAGAACAGAACCAGUGUCAGCUGAAAAGUUCUUAAGAAUCUGGGAAAGAUAGAUGGGAUUUUUUGAAUGAACUUGGUUUGGCUUUUUUGUUUUUGUUUAAUUUCUUGGAAUAAAUUGGAUUUUGACGUCAAGUUUUUAAAAUGCGACUGGGUAUC
Python bivittatus (Burmese python) is the source of this 1255-nucleotide long non-coding RNA. RefSeq lists it as uncharacterized. The record is from RefSeq and is a predicted model, not a curated record. NCBI's taxonomy places the organism in Eukaryota, Metazoa, Chordata, Lepidosauria, Squamata, Pythonidae.